GCCUAGAGAGGCGACGUUGUGUGGCGCCGUGGUGGCAUCGAUGGUGGGCUUUCAAGGUUAAUAUGUUGGUACCUGUUCUGAAGAUAGAUCGGUGGAAGACGGUGGCGGUCUCUCAGGAUGCGCCGGACCGGUGUGUGUCCCAGACCCUGCAAGAGGCUUGGUUGGGGCCUUCAGCUUUAGAUGUUAGGCUUAAGUGCGAGGUUUGUUUGGUAUUCGGUUCAGACAUUCGACAUCCCUUUCAUCAAGUGGUUAAGAGUAGCGACGGAUAUGUUAAGAUGAUGGCUUCAGACUUACUCAUGUAUUAAGUUGUAAGGUAUUUAUGAAUAAUUAAUGAAAUGGUUCCAUUCACGAGGUGCAGAGGCCCGAUGUCAUCCUCUUUUUCAUAUUAUUUUUUGCUCAAAUAAAUGGAAGCCUCCCAUCUUAAUUACAACUAGGGGCGAAGAACUCAAGUAUGAUACACUUCCCAACUACAGGAGUACUGAAAUCACCAUACGCCGUGAUCUAGGAUAAAUACAUUUAUUCAUAAGUACCUCCCAUCUUAACUUCAUGAUGCCGGGUGAACCUUCCUGACGAUCCAGCGAACAAUCCUCCUCCAUCUUAGCUUAAUCUCCUUGGGCACCUGACGCUUCUGCUCAUGGCUUCUUUUUCCUGCGCCCAUGUGAACAACGGCCGCUGCUGCCUCGUACACCAUCGCCGGCUAUUUUUAUCUAUCUGCUGCACACAAGCAAGAGACGAAACGACUAAUGUUUUUCCUCGGGAGUCCUCAGUUUUGCUCGUGUUGUCUGGUGUGGACUUGCGAAUGCAUCCGUUCAGUAUUUGUAGGAACGUCUCGCUAAACUGGCUUGGCACCCAAGGAACGAGCAAGGAUGGCUCAAUGGUCGAGUCAAAGGUCAAGGUAUGCGCAUAUGCUAC
RNAcentral lists this long non-coding RNA (912 nucleotides) under Hordeum vulgare. Its description in RNAcentral is "long non-coding RNA (HVUL_LNC005215)". The record is from RNAcentral. Lineage: Eukaryota; Viridiplantae; Streptophyta; Magnoliopsida; Poales; Poaceae.